CCACGAGAAAGUUACUGAAUGUUUCAGCGCCUCAGUUUAUUCACCUAUGAAAUGGAGAUAAAUGAAUACUACUUGAAGUGAAAUCUGCUGCCAUUCAAGUUGUUUUUCCCAAUAGAUUUUGAUCAUUUGGCUAACUGCUAACAUUCCAUCAAAAGAAUGGAGAAGAGAUUAAAAACCAACAAAUCUUGACUUCCUAGUGUUCCAGAAAACCAAGCAAUGACAUCUAGUGCUGUACAACUUCAAGAUGCUCUUCCAUUGUUUGCUUUGUACCCUUGCCACAUCUACUUUCUGAAGACACGCAUCAGUUGAUAAUAGCCACUGGGGGUCAGACUUCCACAUGGCCUUUACCAAACAUAUGAUUUCAUACCCAGUGCAACGGCAGAAGCCCAGACCCACAGAUU
Molecule: long non-coding RNA, 401 nt
Organism: Lontra canadensis (Northern American river otter)
Lineage: Eukaryota; Metazoa; Chordata; Mammalia; Carnivora; Mustelidae
Exons: 3
Source: RefSeq, a predicted model, not a curated record